CUUACACAUGCAGUCGAGCGGAACGAUGGUAGCUUGCUACCAGGCGUCGAGCGGCGGACGGGUGAGUAAUACUUAGGAAUCUACCUAGUAGUGGGGGAUAGCUCGGGGAAACUCGAAUUAAUACCGCAUACGACCUACGGGAGAAAGGGGCAACUUGUUGCUCUCGCUAUUAGAUGAGCCUAAGUCGGAUUAGCUAGAUGGGGGGGUAAAGGCCUACCAUGGCGACGAUCUGUAGCUGGUCUGAGAGGAUGAUCAGCCACACCGGGACUGAAACACGGCCCGGACUCCUACGGGAGGCAGCAGUGGGGAAUAUUGGACAAUGGGGGAAACCCUGAUCCAGCCAUGCCGCGUGUGUGAAGAAGGCCUUUUGGUUGUAGAGCACUUUAAGCAGUGAAGAAGACUCCUCGGUUAAUACCCGUGGACGAUGACAUUAGCUGCAGAAUAAGCACCGGCUAACUCUGUGCCAGCAGCCGCGGUAAUACAGGGGGUGCAAGCGUUAAUCGGAAUUACUGGGCGUAAAGCGAGCGUAGGUGGCUUGAUAAGUCAGAUGUGAAAUCCCCGGGCUUAACCUGGGAACUGCAUCUGAAACUGUUAGGCUAGAGUAGGUGAGAGGAAGGUAGAAUUCCAGGUGCAGCGGUGAAAUGCGUAGAGAUCUGGAGGAAUACCGAUGGCGAAGGCAGCCUUCUGGCAUCAUACUGACACUGAGGCUCGAAAGCGUGGGUAGCAAACAGGAUUAGAUACCCUGGUAGUCCACGCCGUAAACGAUGUCUACUAGCCGUUGGGUCCCUUGAGGACUUAGUGACGCAGCUAACGCAAUAAGUAGACCGCCUGGGGAGUACGGCCGCAAGGUUAAAACUCAAAUGGAUUGACGGGGGCCCGCACAAGCGGUGGAGCAUGUGGUUUAAUUCGAUGCAACGCGAAGAACCUUACUGGUCUUGACAUAUCUAGAAUCCUGCAGAGAUGCGGGAGUGCCUUCGGGAAUUAGAAUACAGGUGCUGCAUGGCCGUCGUCAGCUCGUGUCGUGAGAUGUUGGGUUAAGUCCCGCAACGAGCGCAACCCUUGUCCUUAGUUACCAGCGGGUUAAGCCGGGAACUUUAAGGAUGCUGCCAGUGACAAACUGGAGGAAGGCGGGGACGACGUCAAGUCAUCAUGGCCCUUACGACCAGGGCUACACACGUGCUACAAUGGUAGGUACAGAGGGCAGCUACACAGCGAUGUGAUGCGAAUCUCAAAAAGCCUAUUGUAGUCCAGAUUGGAGUUUGCAACUUGACUCCAUGAAGUAGGAAUCGCUAGUAAUCGCGGAUCAGAA
This 1309-nucleotide ribosomal RNA is filed under the name uncultured bacterium. RNAcentral describes it as "bacterial SSU rRNA". It matches the Rfam family "Bacterial small subunit ribosomal RNA", at positions 48 to 1354 of the family's 1533-position model. The record is from RNAcentral.